UCCGGCUUAUCACCGGCAGUCCCUUUAGAGUGCCCAACUGAAUGGUGGCAACUAAUGACAAGGGUUGCGCUCGUUGCGGGACUUAACCCAACAUCUCACGACACGAGCUGACGACAGCCAUGCAGCACCUGUGUUCCGGUUCCCUUUCGGCAAAAUUCAAGGGAUGUCAAGCCCUGGUAAGGUUCUUCGUUUAUCAUCGAAUUAAAGAACACGCUCCACCGCUUGUGCGGGUCCCCGUCAAUUCCUUUAUGUUUUAGUCUUGCGACCGUACUCCACAGGCGGGAUACUUAACGCGUUAGCUUCGCUACUGAAGGGGUCGAUACCUCCAACAGCUAGUAUCCAUCGUUUACGGCGUGGACUAC
This 362-nucleotide unclassified non-coding RNA is filed under the name uncultured bacterium. RNAcentral describes it as "contains 16S-23S intergenic spacer region". The record is from RNAcentral.